AGAGUUUGAUCCUGGCUCAGAACGAACGCUGGCGGCAGGCUUAACACAUGCAAGUCGAGCGCGUAGCAAUACGAGCGGCAGACGGGUGAGUAACGCGUGGGAACGUACCCCUCGGUUCGGAAUAACUCAGGGAAACUUGAGCUAAUACCGAAUACGGCCGAGAGGCGAAAGAUUUAUCGCCGAGGGAUCGGCCCGCGUCCGAUUAGCUAGUUGGUGAGGUAACGGCUCACCAAGGCGACGAUCGGUAGCUGGUCUGAGAGGAUGAUCAGCCACAUUGGGACUGAGACACGGCCCAAACUCCUACGGGAGGCAGCAGUGGGGAAUAUUGGACAAUGGGCGAAAGCCUGAUCCAGCCAUGCCGCGUGAGUGAUGAAGGCCUUAGGGUUGUAAAGCUCUUUCGUCAGGGACGAUAAUGACGGUACCUGAAGAAGAAGCCCCGGCUAACUUCGUGCCAGCAGCCGCGGUAAUACGAAGGGGGCUAGCGUUGUUCGGAAUCACUGGGCGUAAAGCGCAUGUAGGCGGGUCUUUAAGUCAGGGGUGAAUGCCAAGGCUCAACCUUGGAACUGCCUUUGAUACUGGAGACCUUGAGUCCGGGAGAGGUGAGUGGAACUGCGAGUGUAGAGGUGAAAUUCGUAGAUAUUCGCAAGAACACCAGUGGCGAAGGCGGCUCCUGGCCCGGUACUGACGCUGAGAUGCGAAAGCGUGGGGAGCAAACAGGAUUAGAUACCCUAGUAGUCC
RNAcentral lists this ribosomal RNA (738 nucleotides) under uncultured bacterium. RNAcentral describes it as "bacterial SSU rRNA". It matches the Rfam family "Bacterial small subunit ribosomal RNA", at positions 8 to 796 of the family's 1533-position model. The record is from RNAcentral.